UGAAAUUUGUCCCACGCAAUCAGCUGGCAAAUUUCACAAGCACUUUCAGUUGAUUGCGAAGUAACUGUGCUUUGGUCGACAAUAUUAAGCUACAUUCGGCUAUUGUUUGACGUUGUGCAUCGCGUGAAAUGCGUCAGGAGGUGGAAAAUACAAGCAACAGAACCGCUGCCGCAAAAAGUGGGGUAAACAGCCCUUUCCUGUGGCUACCCCAUCUCCACCUGAUACCGCCAAAAGGACCAAUAGCACAGACAACUGGAUGCUGGAAAGAGUGAAGACACUAUAAAUCUACCUACAGAGUCCAUAAGGAGAGGCUGAGGACAUCAGGGACAGCAAGGUGUGCUGAGGAGACUCCAGACCUGUCUCUGGCCGGCUCUCUGACUGACUAUCCUCCCUGGCUGUGACCAAGAUGCUCCUCCUCCAGUCACGCUUCAACUCCCUUCAUGUUGAUCAUUGAUUUACAUUUGUUUUCUUGUAUGUGUUGCUGCAAUUCAUCUUUAAGCUUCCAUAGUACACAUCAAAUGAAACUAAACUAACAUUGCUGUUUAAAGGUUUAUAACCCUGGAUCGAAUCCAGGCUGUAUCACAUCUGGCCGUAAUUGGGAGUCCCAUAGGGUGUCGCACAAUUGGUCCAGCGUCGUCCAGGUUUGGCCGGGGUAGGCAGUCAUUGUAAAUAAGAAUAUGUUCUUAACUGACUUGCCCAGUUACCUUAGUCAUCUGUGCUUUCUGGGAGAAGUUGGUGGCUAUGUAGAUGGAUAGAAGCAGGCAGCCAGUACCGCGAUCACAAACAGAUUCAGGAUCAGUCGGAUCACGUAGAUCCUACACUUCUCCUUCCGUGUCCUGUCUGCCAUCUUCUGCUUGAUGCGCUCCUCUUCCAGAUCAGUCUGUUGACAUAGAAAGGACAGAGGAAUGGAUAUAGGAUCUCCAUUAUAUGCAGUUAUAAGCACUUAUACUUUAUAUAUUAAUAAACAAAAUAAACACAGCUUCUUCUGAAAGGAGUUGUUGAAAAGCGAGUGGUAAACAGAAGUGAACCAAUACAGUUCUUUUACAUUGUAUGGCUGUAACUGGAAUGUGUGAACUAAGGAAUUCAUUUCACUUUGUCAAUAGUGUUGAAUCACAU
Long non-coding RNA from Oncorhynchus gorbuscha (pink salmon), 1116 nucleotides. RefSeq lists it as uncharacterized. Lineage: Eukaryota; Metazoa; Chordata; Actinopteri; Salmoniformes; Salmonidae. The transcript is spliced from 3 exons. The record is from RefSeq and is a predicted model, not a curated record.